GCGGGGAUUGUUUUCCACACCGUGGAAGCUUUGUUCUUUUCGUUUUUUGCAAUAAAUCUUGUUGCUGCUCGCUUUUUGGGUCCACAUUGCUUUUAUGAGCUGUACCACUCACCGUGAAGAUCUGCAGCUUCACUUCAGAGCCUAGCGAGACCACAAGCUCACUGAGAGGAACAAACAACUCCAGACGCGCUGUCUUAAGAGCUAUAACACUCACCGCGAAGGUGUGCAGUUUCACUCCUGAGCUAGUGAGACUACGAAGCCACUGGAACGAAGAAACUCCAACCACGUUUGAACAUCAGAAGGGGCAGACUCCAGACGCUUCAUCUUAAGAGCUGUAACACUCACUGUGAAGGUCUGCAGCUUCACUCCUGAGCCAGCGAGACCACGAACCGAUCUGAACAUCAGAAGGGACAGACUCCAGAUGCCCCACCUUAAGAGCUGUAAUACUCACUGCAAGGGUCUGCAGCUUCAUUCUUGAAGUCAGACCAAGAACCCAGCAAUUCCCAACACACAGGGACCAGCUUCUUUCCUAACUCACUUAGGCUCUUCGUGCUGCUCUGGCAACUAACACCCUUGGCUGCAGGGGCUUGGACACUACCCUUAGUCACUGACAAUUGUGUGAAGGCUGCUGUCGUUAACUUCACUUGAUCACCUUAGGCUCCUGUGAAGUGGUGAGCAAUUCAAACAAAUUCCUGUCGUCAAAUCAUAAUCCUGAUUUUGUUUGGAAGGACAGCGUGCCUGGUUCCAGGUGUUCAGCUGCAUUGGCGCCAGAGCACCAAUGGGGCAAGAGAAUCCUCUGGAGAAGUUUUCUGUGAUCUCAUCACAGGAGUAGCCCAGAGGAACAGCCCAGGGCCUGGGGCCUAGGAUGGGUGGACCAGGCCAUGCAGCUGGUUGGGGGCUUGACCCCCACUCAAAAAGACAGGAGAGAGAAGGGGAAUGGCUGUAAGCAGUGAAGCUCCUCUUUGAACACUGUAGAAGGUUCCCAUCCUGGCACAGGCAUGGUUUGAAGAUAAAAUUAUGAAGAGUUUCAGGACAGCUCCAGCAGAGCAUGAAACCAAGCGCCAGGCUGUUCUGAGAGUAAAACCCUGUGCAACUGUACGGGUCACACACCUGUGAAGCUGGCCUCAAUUAUAAGGCAACUGCCCACUGGAUGCUAGAGACAAAGCAGGACAGCUGAGAGAAAUCCUUCUGAGACCCUGUAAGCCUUCACCCUGCAGCCAACUUCCAAAGGCUAAAUAAAGGCACAGCUGCGGGACGGAGGGAGAUAUACUAAGGAAUGGAAAGAUGAGGGUGGAACUGGAUGGAGGUCAAAGAGAAAUUCCCAGUGAUACAAAGAGCCAGCAUAGAGAAAUCUCACACAGCUUACAUGGCUGAUGGCUGCACAGCAAGGAAUGCUAAAGUUCAUUCACUGGGCUCAAGGAAACCAUGAGGCGGGAGCCCGGCUCUGCAGGGAGAAAUGAAGAGCACCUGAAAGGAGUGUCAGCUUGAGUGAUGGAGAAAUUGCACUGCAGAGAAAUCUUUAAAAGCAAUUACCUAAUACUGCAGAUUGCUGAACUGUACCCACACCCAAGACUGAGCAUUGGAUCAAUCCAGAAUAUACAUCAGGUGUUCUGCAAUGUCUGCCUAAAACCAUGACUCUGCCUCCUCCAGCUGUUGCUACAUCUCACUAUGGGUUUCCUGUGACAUUUUGAGCAAGUAUGCCUCUGUGACUGGGGUUCUUACACUCCAGAAUGGAUGAGAAGCACCGUAAGUGGCUUUUAAAAUGAAUAUUCCCUGGCCCUUCAGUCGCUCUAUAGGUCAAGAAUCUGAAUUCUCAACCUGUCUAGAAGGUUCUGGUUUUAAUGGUCUGUGGGCUGCACAUUGAGAAACCUGUUCAGCGAGUGCAACAAAGGUUCCACAUGUGAGAAAGGAAGCAUCAGGUCUCUUGAGCCUGUUCUUUAAUCUGUAGGCUGCACCUUCUCUUUAAAUUCUGCUAAUAACACCAUGCGAGAAAACACCCGAGCUUGAAAAGCCCAUGUUCCAACAUAACUGUCCUUCACCACUCUGGAAAAUUAAUGGUUUGUUUCGAUUAUCCCUUUGUUAAACUCCAAAGUCAAAGAGCUCUGAAAGGCAUACGGUUAUUUUAAGUUUCAGGUGAUUUCUGUUGCCAAAUAUUUUAAAAAUUUAAAAUUGCUACGUGACCUCUUAGUAGUACUAUUAGAUUUCCUGACAAUAAAAAUAAGUCUUUUGGUUUCACCAUUUAUAGUUAGUACAGCUAAUAUUAAGUAUAAUUUUAAAAGCCUUUUAUUUUCUCAGAAAGAAAAAAUAAUCAAAAUCUGCUCAGUGUGGUAUUGAAUAAUUAAAAACAAAAGAACAGUAUCUUCACAUUAGUGUUUAAUAUUAAUUGC
Homo sapiens (human) is the source of this 2387-nucleotide long non-coding RNA. The record is from Ensembl. NCBI's taxonomy places the organism in Eukaryota, Metazoa, Chordata, Mammalia, Primates, Hominidae.